UCCGGUUUGACACCGGCAGUCCCCUUAGAGUCCUCGGCAUAACCCGUUAGUAACUAAGGGCAAAGGUUUCGCUCGUUAAGGGACUUAACCCGACAUCUCACGACACGAGCUGACGACAGCCAUGCAGCACCUGUGCAGUUCGUGUAUUGCUACACCACCCGCUUUCACGGAUUGAACACUGCAUGUCAAGCCCAGGUAAGGUUCUGCGCGUUGCUUCGAAUUGAACCACAUGCUCCACCGCUUGUGUGAGCCCCCGUCAAUUCCUUUGAGUUUUAGCCUUGCGACCGUACUUCCCAGGCGGUCCACUUAACACUUUUGCUUCGACCGUGAAGGCGUCAGAGCCUCCACAAUCUAGUGGACAUCGUUUAGGGCCAGGACUA
This 380-nucleotide unclassified non-coding RNA is filed under the name uncultured Tepidisphaerales bacterium. Its description in RNAcentral is "contains 16S-23S intergenic spacer region". Lineage: Bacteria; Pseudomonadati; Planctomycetota; Phycisphaerae; Tepidisphaerales. The record is from RNAcentral.